AAAAGGGAUCAUGUAUUAGCAACAUGGUAAAAUCCAAUUCAGCAAUGGUUGACAGCUUGACAUCCUAUGAAUGUAGAAGUCUACAUCACUCUUCCCUUUUAGUUUACAACAACAAUCAUUUUUUCAGCGUAAGAGCACCCUAUAAUCGUCCAAUCUUUUGAGACAGAUGAAAUGGUACUCACUUCAUCUUCCAAAGAGAUUUGUUUAAAGAAAAGUUCCCCCUCAAUUGAUGUAUAUUCUUGCAUAAUCAGCAUUACCAAUUCAACAUCCUAAAGAGUAAGGACAAGAAUCUCUACAACCCAUCUUUCGGAUUCUGGGGAAUAAUUCACAGCACAUCUUAAAGUGAAAAAUCAGAAGCAGUACAUUCAAGCAAGUCAUUUGAAGACUACAUGUUCAUAAUCUAGCAAACUUCUAGCCAUAUAAACGAACUCGGGGGAAAGGGAACAACACAAAGAAAAGAAAUGAAACUAAAAAUCAGAUCUAAAUCCAAAAAUCUCAUAAACUCAAAAGCAUUCAGAUCUCAAGAAAGAGAAUAAAAGAUAA
Molecule: unclassified non-coding RNA, 543 nt
Filed under: Hevea brasiliensis (rubber tree)
Lineage: Eukaryota; Viridiplantae; Streptophyta; Magnoliopsida; Malpighiales; Euphorbiaceae
Source: RNAcentral